AGAGUUUGAUCAUGGCUCAGGAUAAACGCUGGCGGCGCGCCUAACACAUGCAAGUCGAACGGAGCUGAGAGGAGCUUGCUUUUCUUAGCUUAGUGGCGAACGGGUGAGUAACGCGUGAGUAACCUGCCCUGGAGUGGGGGACAACAGUUGGAAACGACUGCUAAUACCGCAUAAGCCCACGGAUCCGCAUGGAUCUGCGGGAAAAGGAUUUAUUCGCUUCAGGAUGGACUCGCGUCCAAUUAGCUAGUUGGUGAGGUAACGGCCCACCAAGGCGACGAUUGGUAGCCGGACUGAGAGGUUGAACGGCCACAUUGGGACUGAGACACGGCCCAGACUCCUACGGGAGGCAGCAGUGGGGGAUAUUGCACAAUGGGGGAAACCCUGAUGCAGCGACGCCGCGUGGAGGAAGAAGGUUUUCGGAUUGUAAACUCCUGUCGUUAGGGACGAUAAUGACGGUACCUAACAAGAAAGCACCGGCUAACUACGUGCCAGCAGCCGCGGUAAAACGUAGGGUGCAAGCGUUGUCCGGAAUUACUGGGUGUAAAGGGAGCGCAGGCGGACGGGCAAGUUGGAAGUGAAAACUAUGGGCUCAACCCAUAAAUUGCUUUCAAAACUGCUGGCCUUGAGUAGUGCAGAGGUAGGUGGAAUUCCCGGUGUAGCGGUGGAAUGCGUAGAUAUCGGGAGGAACACCAGUGGCGAAGGCGACCUACUGGGCACCAACUGACGCUGAGGCUCGAAAGCAUGGGUAGCAAACAGGAUUAGAUACCCUGGUAGU
RNAcentral lists this ribosomal RNA (775 nucleotides) under uncultured bacterium. RNAcentral's name for it is "bacterial SSU rRNA". It matches the Rfam family "Bacterial small subunit ribosomal RNA", at positions 8 to 794 of the family's 1533-position model. The record is from RNAcentral.